UGCGUAGGUGGUUUCUUAAGUCAGAGGUGAAAGGCUACGGCUCAACCGUAGUAAGCCUUUGAAACUGGGAAACUUGAGUGCAGGAGAGGAGAGUGGAAUUCCUAGUGUAGCGGUGAAAUGCGUAGAUAUUAGGAGGGACACCAGUUGCGAAGGCGGCUCUCUGGACUGUAACUGACACUGAGGCACGAAAGACGUGGGGAGGCAAAACA
This 209-nucleotide ribosomal RNA is filed under the name uncultured bacterium. RNAcentral describes it as "partial 16S ribosomal RNA". It matches the Rfam family "Bacterial small subunit ribosomal RNA", at positions 568 to 776 of the family's 1533-position model. The record is from RNAcentral.